UAACACCUACCCUUAGUAUGCAUGAUUCACUCUGAUAUCCUAGUCUACUUCCAUUCCAGUCUUUGUGUUCUGUUGAAAGAAUUUUUUUAAAAAACAUAAUUCCUCUCCCACUCUGUUGGUUUCAGGUUGUUAUUAGCAGAACUCUGGAGCCAUGCUGCCUUAACAAACCCAAUUUUCCUGGUGGACACUGCUAUUACCUAGGGCUCUUGGCAUCGUGUUUUCAGGGGCUGCCUCAGAUUGUGCAAUGAAGUGAAGUGGAAAAUUCAAAACUUUUAUUCUACCCAUUCUUUCAUCUGCCGUCUAGGCAGGCUACAAACCUCCCCAACAUCUCUGCCGCUAACCCCCUCCAACAGACACUGCAAGUGUCACACACAAGUACCAGCUCAACACAGUCUCCAGUCUCACUCUGGGCUUUCCCUGUUUUGUUGUGUAGAUUUUCUUGCUGAUACUGGUGUUUUACUUUCUGUUUCCAUUCUAUAAAUUUACAGGGUUGAUUUGGGAAGCAGAGCACAGCAGCCCAAAUUUGCUUGUAAUGUCGGCGGCUACAGAGGAAAGGCCAAGAAUGGACAGAUUAAUAAAGGGCCAUCUACAAGCCACGAAUAAGGCCAUCACCAGAAGCCAACCCCGCCAGUCCUUGAUCUAGGACUUCCAGACUUCAAAACUGUGAGAAAAAAAAUAAAUUUCUGUUGUUUUA
Long non-coding RNA from Homo sapiens (human), 694 nucleotides. RefSeq lists it as uncharacterized. Lineage: Eukaryota; Metazoa; Chordata; Mammalia; Primates; Hominidae. The transcript is spliced from 2 exons. The record is from RefSeq and is a predicted model, not a curated record.